This 2901-nucleotide long non-coding RNA is filed under the name Homo sapiens (human). RNAcentral describes it as "HSALNT0111362". Lineage: Eukaryota; Metazoa; Chordata; Mammalia; Primates; Hominidae. The record is from RNAcentral.
GUAAAAGUAACAGUACUGUCUCAUGCUCAUUUACUGUGUGUUUUCCCUAAUAAUAGUAAUUUUUAAAAUCUAGGGGCAAUUAUUCUUUUGAUACAAGGCUUAUUUCAAUAGUACAGUAACACCCUACUGCAAGGUACUGUAAUCUUUGUUGUGUUUGGUUACGCUACAAUUUAAGCUGAGACAAAAGGAGGUCUGUGGCACACAGUUCUCUCCUGCAUAUUCAGACAGCCUGUAAUACAUAGAGCCUUUUCCUCCCACCCAACGUGCAGCACCUGAUAAGUGACUGUACUCAGAAUUCUCUUAGUGACUGUAGGCCCUUCUUUCCCUUGCAUUCAUGUCUGUGUUCAAAUAUGUUCAUCCAGCCACUACUCUGGCUGGAAAUGUUGGUCUUGUAGUUUAUGAAUAUGUGCUAUGGUUUGAAUUUGGUUAAUCUCCACCAAAACUCGUGUUGAAUCUUGGUCCCCAGUGUGCUAGUUUUGGGAGGUGGUGCCUUUAAAAGGUGAUUAGGUCAUUAGUAUGGAUUAAUGUCUUUCUCCCAAGACUGGAUUAGUUUUUGUGGGAAUGGAUUAGUUUCUGAGAGAGCAAAUUCUUAUAAAGUGAGGUUGCCUUUCAUGUUUUGUCCUUCCAUUUCUCCACCAUGUUUUGACACAGCACAGGGCCCUCACCAGAGGCUACCAGAUGUAGCUGCUCAACCUUGAACUUCCCAGUCUGAAGAACUGUGAGCUAAAUAAAUCUCUUUUCUUUAUAAAUUACCCAGUCUCAGGUAUUUUGUUACAGCAACACAAAACGGACUAAGGCAAUAUCUCUGGAGUUUAUCCUAACAAAUUCCUUUCUUAUACUUUUUUUAGGGAAUAAUUCAGUUUUGCAGACCAUCCUUAAAUGCAAACUACUACUGGGUGCGUAUUAUAUCCUCCCAGUGAGUGAGCCCUGGUAGGUCACAGGGACUCCCAGGGGUGCCCCUCAUCCUCAGGCAUCAGUGCUCUAUGGUACCUACUUCUUCAGCAUGUCCAGACACAUCGGGGAUGUUCCUACCUCCCUCAUGCCAGGUGGGCAGUCCCCACUCCAAAGGGCUUCUAUCCUGGAAGCUCAGCAUCAAUUAAUGUUCCCCACAAAUUUAGAUAAGGAGCAAAGCACCAUUAUUAUCAUCACAUGUCCACAGGAUGCAGAACACUGCAGGAAAGUUGAGAUUUGGGGUUUAAUUCACUUAAUGAACAUUAUUUUGCAUGAGAAAUAAAUCAUAACAUUUAAAGGCAUAUGUAUUUUUUUCAUAAAGAGUGAAAAUAACUUUAUUGAGUUUAUGAAGGAAUGUAUACUAUUACAACUUAGAGCACCAACUUUACUGAUUAUGAGAAUGUUAAUGAGAAAGUUGUUUCUAUUAAUUAGUGUAUUUGAAAAUGAACACAGAGGCAGUCUUCCAACCUGCCAUGCCCCCCAUUUUCUUUUCUCUCUCUCUCUCUCUUUUUGUGUUUUAAUCUGUAUUUCCCUGAUAACAUGUAAUGUGGAGCAUCCUUUCAGAUGCAUAUGUACCAUGAGGAUAUCUCUUUGGUGAGGUGUCUGUUAAGGUCUCUGGCUCCCCCCACCUUUUUUUUUUUUUUUUUUUUUUGAGAAAGAGAGAGUCUUACUGGGUCACCUAGGCUGGAGUCUCUCUCUCUCUCUCUCUCUUUUUCAAAAAAAAAGGUUCGGGGGUAUAUGUGAAGGUUUGUGACAUGUGUAAACUCCUAUCACAGGGUUUGUUGUACAAAUUAUUUUAUCACUCUGGUGUUAAGCCCAGGACUCAAUAGUUGUCUUUUCUGCUCCUCCCCUUCCUCCCACCCUGCAUCCUCAAAUAGACCCUACAUGUUCAAAGUGCUUUGAAGCUCCUUCCGUACUAUUUCAUUUUAUUCUUCGAGACAAUUACAUGGAGUUUGAAGUUAUGAUCUUUGCAGGUGGGAUAACUGAGGUUCAGAGAGGUGAAGUUGUCCACAGUUACACAGGGCACUAGCAGGAGACUUGAGCCUUGAUCUGGUUCAUUUCACCAGCGUCAUACUCACUAAGGGCUGCCAUUUGCCAGGGACCAUGACAGGUCCUGGAGCUGUUGAUGGAAAGAACAGGAUGGUCCUCUCCCUCACCCUUCCCUGGCAUGGCCAUCAGGCCCCCAGUAGCAGGUUUGCCUCUCUUUCUGUCCCUGUCUGGGCCAAGAGGGCAAGUGAGGCCUGAUGAACCAUGCAAAAUGGAGCAGCACUAUCAUCAACUCUGGCCUCCAGGACACUGGGCAUGUGGUCAGGGCUUCCCCAUGUGGUAGGAAAGGUGCCUCCCCUUGCCACAGUUCUCAGCUCCCCUCAGUUUCCCUGAAGGGCAGGUGAGCAGGGGCUUGGGGUUGAGUAAUUCAAAAAAGGUUCCUCUCCAUUUCUAGCAUAGACUUUUCCCUACCCCACCUUACCCCAAUGUUUCUGCUUUGUAUGAAAAGAAAGGCCACCCUUAAACUAGAUAGCAAAAUUAAGCCAGUUAGGGGCUGCCCAGCACCUGUUUAAUCAGACAAAUCCAUUGUGUUCAUGAGACUGACAAUCUUGUGGGGAAGCAAAAACAAAUAUGGAUCAAAGUGUGCAACAGUGUGUAGGCAGACUCAAAAACUCAUAGAGGAUUUACUGUGGAUAGAUGGAUCCAAGAUAAUGGAGGUUGAAUUUUAUAACUUCAGUAUUACUAUGAGCAGCAUUUGAUAGACUGUUUUCUGUUUGCAAGCUGUUUUUUAAAUGUAUUGCUUUGAACAAUUAAAGAGAAUUUUGAAAGAAAAUCAUUUCCCAAUAUUCCCAUCAGCUAAACAAGAUUGCUUCACCCCCACCACCACCCCAAGACUGUAGACUUUUUGAGAGGAUGGAUCAAUUCUAAUUAAUCUUUCCAUUACUAUUAUCUGGCACAAAGUAG